GUCUCAGGCCGUAUCAGCCUGAAGGCGCCCGAUCUCGUCUGAUCUCGGAAGCUAAGCAGGGUCGGGCCUGGUUAGGAUCUUGGAUGGGAGACCACCUAGGGAAUCCCGGGUGCUCGAGGCU
Molecule: ribosomal RNA, 121 nt
Filed under: Bison bison bison
Lineage: Eukaryota; Metazoa; Chordata; Mammalia; Artiodactyla; Bovidae
Source: RNAcentral